This 816-nucleotide ribosomal RNA is filed under the name Dyadobacter sp. 46. Its description in RNAcentral is "bacterial SSU rRNA". It matches the Rfam family "Bacterial small subunit ribosomal RNA", at positions 108 to 919 of the family's 1533-position model. Lineage: Bacteria; Pseudomonadati; Bacteroidota; Cytophagia; Cytophagales; Spirosomataceae. The record is from RNAcentral.
GCGUAACGCGAAUGCAACCUACCUAUCAUAGGGGGAUAGCCCGGGGAAACCCGGAUUAAUACCGCAUAAAACAGGGGCACCGCAUGGUGAUAUUUGUUAAAGAUUUAUUGGUGAUAGAUGGGCAUGCGUUCGAUUAGCUAGUUGGCGGGGUAACGGCCCACCAAGGCGACGAUCGAUAGGGGAGCUGAGAGGUUGAUCCCCCACACGGGCACUGAGAUACGGGCCCGACUCCUACGGGAGGCAGCAGUAGGGAAUAUUGGGCAAUGGAUGCAAGUCUGACCCAGCCAUGCCGCGUGCCGGAUGAAGGCCCUCAGGGUUGUAAACGGCUUUUAUUCGGGAAGAAGAGCAGGGAUGCGUCCUUGUGUGACGGUACCGAAUGAAUAAGCACCGGCUAACUCCGUGCCAGCAGCCGCGGUAAUACGGAGGGUGCGAGCGUUGUCCGGAUUUAUUGGGUUUAAAGGGUGCGUAGGUGGCUGUUUAAGUCAGUGGUGAAAUACGGUUGCUCAACAAUCGAGGUGCCAUUGAUACUGAAUAGCUUGAAAUAAUUGGAGGCUGCCGGAAUGGAUGGUGUAGCGGUGAAAUGCAUAGAUAUCAUCCCAGAACACCGAUUGCGAAGGCAGGUGGCUACGAUUGGUUUGACACUGAGGCACGAAAGCAUGGGGAGCAAACAGGAUUAGAUACCCUGGUAGUCCAUGCUGUAAAACGAUGAGGACUCGCUGUUUGAUGGCAACAUUGAGCGGCUUAGGGAAACCGUUAAAGUCCUCCACCUGGGGGAGUACGCCGGCAACGGUGAAACUUCAAAGGAUUUGACGGGGG